CUGGGCUACGUGUCAGGCUGUGUCCAAGCAGGACAAAGUGACGCAGAUGAAGGCGAUGGCAUUUGACACCUGGGAAAAAAUGUUCCUGCUCAUCUUCCAGCUGUGAUUUGAGUGAAGAGCUUCGGUUCUGUAUUCAUUUAUGAGCAUAGAAAAUGGACACCGAACAUGCCUCCUCUAUAAUCUGAAGCGGCUGAUUUAACGUGAUUGAUCCUCAAUAUGGGAGUUGCCUUCAAAGAACACAGCAACAAUGAUGACAUCGCACUACAAGACCAGCCUUCAGUCUUUGUUGCUUCUGCCUCUCCUGAGUUUAGUAAAAGAAAGAUGUUGAUAAACUAAGGAGAGGAUGAGCAGGAUCACAAAAAGAGAGCUGGGACGUUUUGAUCAUUUUUAUGUCAGCAUGCUUGUGGAUAAAGACACGUCUGCGCUGCCAAGUGUCCCAGGCAAUCCCGGCUUCAUUGAGUCCUGCACUGCGAUGUUUUAAAUCACUACUCUUUUAUUCUCUUCUACCAUAAUAGCUACACUAUAAAGAGCAGCAGAGGAGAAGGAAUCAAUAAAAUCAUGCAUCUAAUAAGGGGGGCAGGAUUAAAAAUGGUUCCUCCAAAGCCUUCAGGGGAAAAUCGAGGUGAGAUUUAAGUCUUUUGACAGGUACAUCGGGGACUUUCUCUCCCAUCCCUGCCAGAGUGGACCGGGCGGUGGGCUCGGGACUUGUUUAUGGCAGGUUGGGAUUAAGAAGGUCGGAUCUACACCGCCAUUUCUCAAGGCCUCAAAAGCCCAGUAGGCUAAUUAAACAGUAACAGGCGAGACAUGGGUCUCUCUUGCGCUCACCUCCUGGCUUUGCUCUCUUCAAUUCCAGCAGUUUAAUUUUUCUAGAAAGGGGGCAACCAUGUCGGAGCACUCGGCAGGCUUCCAGCUCUGCGGUGGGAUGUUGGAGGGGUAGCGACGCAAUGGAGGAGGACCGAGCAUUGGAAUGAGGAGAAGGUUGGUCACAGGAAAGGCCAGGUCAAACCCUCUACACCCCAGCUGACAGCUAGAGUCAGACCUUCCUGCUCCAUGAGGCUGAAGGACAGAAAAGGAGGGGAAGGCGGUAAUAUCGACAAGGUGGAAGCAUUGUGACUCAUAUUGUGAUUCCUGUGCCAGUGUUGCAGUCCACCGUCACGCCGCUGGAAGGGCAGGCGGCUCGCGUCCAAGGCCCCCCGUGCAACCUGUGUAAGAACGGCGAGGCCUGAUGUUGUUGACCUAGCCCCAAGGUGCAUGUGUCACAGCCAAGGCCAUCAAGGCAGUUCCCGUCAUCGCAUUUGCACUUCAAAAAACAUUUGGCUUGCACAGCCUUGGAGCAAGGGAGUCUCAGAGGUGCUUGUGAUAGUGGAUUCACCAGCUUACAGGAAACCUCCUGAAUUAAACAGAACGAAUGGCAGCUGUUGGAUCCGUCCAACCUGCACUGCUAAUCUUCUUCAUAAUACCCAUGCCUCUCGCUCGGUUAUUGUCUCACGAAUUAAAGGGAAUCUCAUUGCUGAACAGUUUUAGUUAAAUAAGAUUCACAUGGUAUUGGUGGGAAGUAGGAUUUUGGUCCCAAAUUAAAGAUGUAACAAGCCCUAGCAGUGUUGCAAACACAUUCCUGUAGUCACCACACAGGCACACUAGUGCUACAUGAAUACAGGUCACAGUUUUAAUAAUUAUUUAAACAAUAUAUUCAACUUAAAUACAUACACUCACUUCAUAUCAAUUCUUAUAUUCAUAUUUAAUAUAUGUAA
This is a long non-coding RNA of Sinocyclocheilus rhinocerous, 1751 nucleotides long. RefSeq lists it as uncharacterized. The transcript has 3 exons. The record is from RefSeq and is a predicted model, not a curated record. NCBI's taxonomy places the organism in Eukaryota, Metazoa, Chordata, Actinopteri, Cypriniformes, Cyprinidae.